UUUAAAUUUGCACCCUAGACCCAACUCCUCUCUCUCUCACACACUCAUCACGUGAUUUCUCUCACGCCCUUCACUCUCAUUCUCUAAUUUCACGAUACACAACUCCACAACCACAAGCACUCUCAGUCUCUCACCUAGGUCUGGUCACCACCACGCCGUCUCACCGGCCACCACCACGCCGUCCGCCGCACCACCAUGCCGUCCGCCACACCACCACUGUCCAGCCGUGCCUCUGGCUCUGCGGUUCUACUUCUACAGUUUCAUAUGUUUCUCAAUUUGCAAUAAGCCAAUAACACUUCCCAGUUCCCAGUGAAACUAUUGAGUGCAUCUAUCAAAUGGUAAGUAUCUUGAAUUUUCCCAAGGUGUCAUGGCUCUUGUCUGCUACUUGUUUCUGCUUCAGGUCCCUGUUUUGCUCCAAGUUGAAUUCGUGGAAGUUGGCUUUGUGUUUUGAUAAUUGGGUGUGCGUUGGAGUUUUAGAUUGAGGAUAUAUUGAUCCAAUUGUGUUAAGGUUGUCAUGUUGUGUGGAUUGAGAACCUUUGCUAUUUUUUUUUUGGGUCCUUUUGUCUGUUGCAUAUAUAGCAGUUUAGGCACUUUUUUCCUAUUCUCUGGUUUGAUGACUAUGUACAGGGUUGGGAUAAUUAUGAUUAAAGACAGUUUUGACAAGUUUAUCUUCUUUUGAAAUUGACACUGAUUUUGAGAUA
Molecule: long non-coding RNA, 701 nt
Organism: Lotus japonicus
Lineage: Eukaryota; Viridiplantae; Streptophyta; Magnoliopsida; Fabales; Fabaceae
Exons: 2
Source: RefSeq, a predicted model, not a curated record